RNAcentral lists this ribosomal RNA (468 nucleotides) under uncultured bacterium. Its description in RNAcentral is "partial 16S ribosomal RNA". It matches the Rfam family "Bacterial small subunit ribosomal RNA", at positions 28 to 507 of the family's 1533-position model. The record is from RNAcentral.
GACGAACGCUGGCGGCGUGCUUAACACAUGCAAGUCGAACGGAAAGGCCCUGCUUUUGUGGGGUGCUCGAGUGGCGAACGGGUGAGUAACACGUGAGUAACCUGCCCCUGACUUUGGGAUAACUUCAGGAAACAGGGGCUAAUACCGCAUAGGAGCUCCUGCUGCAUGGUGGGGGUUGGAAAGAUUCGGCUGUUGGGGAUGUAAUCGCGGCUUAUCAGCUUGUUGGUGGGGUAGUGGCUUACCAAGGGUAUGAAGGGUAGCCUGCCUGGGAGGGGGAGCGGCCACAUUGGGACUGGGAUACGGCCCAGACUAGAACGGGAGGCAACGGUGGAGAAUAUUACACAGUAGACGGAAGCCAGAUGCAGCAACGCCGCGUGCGGGAUGACGGGCUUCGGGUUGUGAACCGCUGUCGCCUGAGACGAGGAGAGAGUGACGGUAAUGGGUAAAGAAGCACCGGCUAACUACGUG